UGUGUAAUGUUAAAUAUGGUUUGGAAACUUCGUAAGGGUUGCUUUUGAAGUUCUGAGUUUUUGUUAAAGAAAAAUUUAAGUCUUAAAUUUGCUUAUGAUUGAUGUUAGAUAAAGUUUUAUUAGUUUUUUGAGCCAGUCAUAUUCGAAGCGAUGUUAUUGUAUCUUGAGAUUGUUCAGAUUGAUACUGAUUUUAAGAAGAUUCUUGGUCUAUUUUCUCUUUAACUACUAGACUUUGGUUGUGUUUGUGUUAAAUACGUAAACCUGGGUUUAAU
Molecule: long non-coding RNA, 272 nt
Filed under: Helianthus annuus (common sunflower)
Lineage: Eukaryota; Viridiplantae; Streptophyta; Magnoliopsida; Asterales; Asteraceae
Description: hypothetical non coding rna
Source: RNAcentral